AUAACGGUGAACGAACAUAUUCUCUGGAGGAAUAUCCAGGAGACAAUCCCACAACAAACAGGUAAAAUUACUAUGUAUGAUCAUUACUAUGUUUUAUGCUUCCAUUCUGAAAUAAAAUUAAGGGGUUCACAAAAUACAUAUUACUUUCCUCUAAAGCAUUUAUUCAUCCAUAAUUAUAUUUGUAAUGUUUAUCAUACCCUAAAUGUUUACAGUAUGAUAGUUAAAGGUUGAGGUUGUUGGCAGAGAGCCUCCACUCUUCCUCUAACAAGCUAGAAGUAAUUUAUUAUGCUGUUGAUGAAGGUAAAAAUGAAAUAUCCUGCAUAGUUCUCCUCCUCUGCUGUCCUCUGAUCAGAACGGAGUCCCUAGCAACGACCCGUUUUGCCUAGCAACGGUCUGGCAUUCUGUUGUUGUUCUGGUAAUCCUACACUGUCAACCUUUAAAUAAAUCUAUGUGCUGUCUCAUGAUCAGAAUGUUCCCGAUGAGGGCCUUGUUGCAGAAGGACCAAGCGGUCAGUCAUCUUUAGAAUGUUUGAGAGGAAAGCAUCUUGUCAGUCCAAUAAGAGAGCACCUGCUUCAGGACAGACCAAACAGAGAUUCAUCAGAGCCUGCCGGAGAGGCAGUCUCCAGAAAGACCCACCCAGUGCUAGAAUUGCCACCCUCCACCUACUCACACUGCACUUUUCAAUUUUGUGGGGAUCAACAAGAUAUGCGAAUCGGACCAGAAGCACAAGACAUGUUAGAGAAGCAACCAGGAUGCAAUGUGCCCGCUACUCCACCUGAUCAGCAAGAGACACCAAACCAACAGGCAGAGACAUUUUUGUUGGAUGGAGAUAAUCCAGCGUAUCCUGGAGCUCCACUGACAAAGGGACAAAGUUUAAUCUUACUGAUGUCUUAUGUACUAAGGCACAAUGUAACAGGUGUGGCACUUGAACAUCUACUGAAGAUUGUCAAUGAACAUUUCCCUGGAAUGGUACCAGUAACCACAUACCUUUUUUCACAAAUCUUAUGGACAAUAUGGAAAUUAUGUCCCCCAUUUUUACUGUCCAGGAUGUGAAAACUACUUAGGGGUAAAUAAUACCAGUGAACUAAAGUGUGAUGCUUGUAAUGCAGUUAACUGAUUCAGAGAGCUGUCUCAAAAGUGGGUGUUUCUUUCUAGUGCUUAGUUUGGCUUCACAAAUCAAAACAUUGCUUGAACAAAACCUAAGUUUAAAAAAAGAUGUCAUUUCAGAUAUACAGUGUGGAGAAGAGUACCAGAAACUCAAAUAAUCAGGUGAAUUAGGUGAGGAUGACAUAACUUUAAUUUGGAACUGUGAUGGAAUUCCAGUUUUCAGGAGUUCAAAGUAUCAAAUCUGGCCCAUUCAGUGCCAGGUUAUAGAACUCAAACCUAAAGAACGCAAGGCAAAUAUCUGUCUUCCUUGUAUCUGGUUUGGCGAGAAGAAGCCAAACUUCUUAACAUUUUUUAAAGCCAUUUGUUAAUGAACUGCAAAUUUUAGAACAAAAUGGCAUUAAAUGGAAGGACUCAGCAAAUGUACAACAUGUCUCCAAAGUGUAUGCUCUGAUAUGCAGUUCAGAUUCAGUUGCUCGCUCACUUCUAAGAAACACCAAACAGUUUGAUGGCUUUUAUGGAUGUGAUUUUUGUUACCAUGUUGGUGGUGGUCCUUACACAAACAGAGGCCCAAAACCACAUCUUAGAACUGAAGCUAAGCAUUUUGAUCACGCAAUGGCUGCAACACCAGACAGUCCUGUAAUGGGAGUAAAAGGACCUUCACCAUUAAUGAAACUCACAAAGUUUCAAAUGAUAAAUGGAUAUGUUCCAGAGUAUCAGCAUUGUGUCUGCCUUGGUGUGACAAGACAAUUGGCAAAACUGUGGUUUGACUCAAGAAAUCAUAACAAAGAGUGGUACUUAGGAGCAAAAUCAGACCGCAUUGACAAAGAGCUCAUUGCAAUUCAACCCCCUGUUGAGAUAACAAGAGUACCACGAUCUGUGGCAGACAGAUCAAAAUAUUGGAAAGCGUCAGAGUGGAGGUCAUUCCUGUUAUUCCAUGCCCUGCCUUUACUGAAUGGGGUCUUACUAAAGAAGUUCUGGAACCACUUUUUUCUGUUUGUGUUCGCAAUGCACAUUCUUUUGGGAGAAAAGGUGAAACGCUGUGAUAUUGAAGUAGCUGAAAGAGCUCUCAAGAAGUUGUCACUGCAGUUUGAGAAGUUAUAAGGUGCAGCAAAUAUGACAUUUAAUGUCCAUCUUCUGACACACCUUGCGGCAAGUGUCAGGAACUGGGGCCCUUUGUGGGCCACAUCAACCUAUUCCUUCGAAUCAUUUAAUGGCACUUUGUUACAGUACUUCCAUGGGACAACACAUGUUCCAGAGCAAAUAGUUAAAAGAUUUCUUUGCUGGAGGAGUCUAACACAAAAAGCCGAAAAGUACAUGGUAGAUGCUAAUGAAGGGGUGAAAUGCUUUUUUUUCCACAUCUCCUAAACAGCAAUGUAUCAAGUUCUAAUUCAUC
This is a long non-coding RNA of Gadus macrocephalus (Pacific cod), 2500 nucleotides long. RefSeq lists it as uncharacterized. The transcript has 4 exons. Lineage: Eukaryota; Metazoa; Chordata; Actinopteri; Gadiformes; Gadidae. The record is from RefSeq and is a predicted model, not a curated record.